RNAcentral lists this ribosomal RNA (379 nucleotides) under uncultured bacterium. Its description in RNAcentral is "bacterial SSU rRNA". It matches the Rfam family "Bacterial small subunit ribosomal RNA", at positions 521 to 896 of the family's 1533-position model. The record is from RNAcentral.
UAAUACGUAGGGACCAAGCGUUGUUCGGAUUUACUGGGCGUAAAGGGCGCGUAGGCGGCAUGACAAGUCACUUGUGAAAUCUCCGGGCUUAACUCGGAACGGCCAAGUGAUACUGUCACGCUAGAGUGCAGAAAGGGCAAUCGGAAUUCUUGGUGUAGCGGUGAAAUGCGUAGAUAUCAAGAGGAACACCUGAGGCGAAGGCGGGUUGCUAGGCUGACACUGACGCUGAGUGCGCGAAAGCCAGGGGAGCAAACGGGAUUAGAUACCCCGGUAGUCCUGGCCCUAAACGAUGAAUACUUGGUGUCUGGAGUUAUUAAUGCUCUGGGUGCCGUAGCUAACGUUUUAAGUAUUCCGCCUGGGGAGUACGCUCGCAAGAGUG